Molecule: ribosomal RNA, 369 nt
Filed under: uncultured eukaryote
Lineage: Eukaryota
Description: partial small subunit ribosomal RNA
Source: RNAcentral
AUGCGCUGCUGCUUGGCGAUCAACGCCUCCGUCUGCUCAAUUGCCCGGUCCACCGUCGAAAGCACUUCGGCGAUUUUGGUUUGUUCGGUUUUUUCCUUCGGAAAGAGAAGUUUUACGCGAGCCAGUGAUUUCUUGGAGAUUUCCGCAAACGUAGUGCCCUCGCCUAGGUGCUUGAGUUUAUCAACGUUGAAAACGAUAUUGUAAUACGUAUACUCGGAAUCAAGCGAAUUGUGAAGGUUUAUGCUCUUGCAGCCCUGGUUAGUGCAAAACUCGACCUUGGGUAUCGCGACGUAACCGAUUGGGGCGCGCGAUGAGAUGACGAUCGAGCCGGGCGGCAACAAUGUGGCUGAACAUCCGCGUAGCCCUUGG